GACGAACGCUGGCGGUGUGCUUCACACAUGCAAGUCGAACGAGGUAGCAAUACCUAGUGGCGGACGGGUGAGUAACGCGUGGGAAUCUGCCUUUAGAUGGGGGAUAACGGGUCGAAAGACUCGCUAAUACCGCAUAUGACGAAAGUUGAAAGGAGUAAUCCGUCUAAAGAUGAGCCCGCGUCCGAUUAGCUAGUUGGUAGAGUAAAAGCCUACCAAGGCGACGAUCGGUAGCUGGUCUGAGAGGAUGAUCAGCCACAAUGGGACUAGAAGACACGGCCCAUACUCCUACGGAGGCAGCAGUGGGAAUUUUACGCAAUGGGCGAAAGCCUGACGUAGCGACACCGACGUGAGCGAAGAAGGCCCCUUGGGGUGUAAAGCUCUGUCAGCUGGAACGAAAAAAUGACGGUACCAGCAGAGGAAGCAUCGGCUAACUACGUGCCAGCAGCCGCGGUAAU
RNAcentral lists this ribosomal RNA (455 nucleotides) under uncultured bacterium. RNAcentral describes it as "bacterial SSU rRNA". It matches the Rfam family "Bacterial small subunit ribosomal RNA", at positions 28 to 524 of the family's 1533-position model. The record is from RNAcentral.